AUUGAACGCUGGCGGCAGGCCUAACACAUGCAAGUCGAACGGUAACAGGAAGAAGCUUGCUUCUUUGCUGACGAGUGGCGGACGGGUGAGUAAUGUCUGGGAAACUGCCUGAUGGAGGGGGAUAACUACUGGAAACGGUAGCUAAUACCGCAUAAUGUCGCAAGACCAAAGAGGGGGACCUUCGGGCCUCUUGCCAUCGGAUGUGCCCAGAUGGGAUUAGCUAGUAGGUGGGGUAACGGCUCACCUAGGCGACGAUCCCUAGCUGGUCUGAGAGGAUGACCAGCCACACUGGAACUGAGACACGGUCCAGACUCCUACGGGAGGCAGCAGUGGGGAAUAUUGCACAAUGGGCGCAAGCCUGAUGCAGCUAUGCCGCGUGUAUGAAGAAGACCUUCGGGUUGUAAAGUACUUUCAGCGGGGAGGAAGGGAGUAAAGUUAAUACCUUUGCUCAUUGACGUUACCCGCAGAAGAAGCACCGGCUAACUCCGUG
RNAcentral lists this ribosomal RNA (490 nucleotides) under uncultured bacterium. RNAcentral describes it as "partial 16S ribosomal RNA". It matches the Rfam family "Bacterial small subunit ribosomal RNA", at positions 30 to 507 of the family's 1533-position model. The record is from RNAcentral.